Molecule: ribosomal RNA, 500 nt
Filed under: uncultured bacterium
Lineage: Bacteria
Description: partial 16S ribosomal RNA
Rfam family: Bacterial small subunit ribosomal RNA
Source: RNAcentral
AUUGAACGCUGGCGGCAUGCCUUACACAUGCAAGUCGAACGGUAACGGGUCCUUCGGGAUGCCGACGAGUGGCGAACGGGUGAGUAAUAUAUCGGAACGUGCCCAGUAGUGGGGGACAACUGCUCGAAAGAGCAGCUAAUACCGCAUACGACCUGAGGGUGAAAGGGGGGGAUCGCAAGACCUCUCGCUAUUGGAGCGGCCGAUAUCAGAUUAGCUAGUUGGUGGGGUAAAGGCCUACCAAGGAAACGAUCUGUAGUUGGUCUGGGAGGACGACCAGCCACACUGGGACUGAGACAUGGCCCAGACUCCUACGGGAGGCAGCAGUGGGGAAUUUUGGACAAUGGGCGCAAGCCUGAUCCAGCAAUGCCGCGUGCAGGAAGAAGGCCUUCGGGUUGUAAACUGCUUUUGUCAGGGAAGAAAUCUUCUGGGCUAAUACCCCGGGAGGAUGACGGUACCUGAAGAAUAAGCACCGGCUAACUACGUGCCAGCCGCCGCCGUAA